CUGAGACCAAGGCCAAUUUGGCCUGGAAGUGCUUCAAUUUCACCAAAACCGUGAAGAACCCUAGAAUUGGGUGUUUCCAAUUCGACCUUCAAACUUGUUCCAACGCCUCAAUUACCUCUUGGGCUUUGUUUUAGGUCCUAAGGGAAUGCUAAUGGUGUUAGUAAUUGAAAGAAAACAUUUCAAAAUUUGGAGAAUUUAAACAAAAGGGUCGCGGCACCCGUAGGGGUGUUCUUCGCGAAAUCACAACGAAAUUCAAUGAUUCUUGGGGGUGAAACGUGAAGAGGGAAGGCCUAGAUGAUGAUUAGGAGUGGUACCUUGAUUCAAUUCGUCGGAAAAUUGGACGAAAAUGGCGAAAACCCGCCGAUUGGAAGUCGCGGGUCGCGCGGGUAUACGGGUUGGGGAAAACCCAUUUCUUCCUUCUCUCCUCCGCUUCUCGCCCCUCUCUCCUUUCCUCCUUUCCUUCCUCUAGUUGGUCAGCUUCUCCCUCUCUCUUCUCCCCAUUCGGUCUCUCCUCCUUCUUCUCCGAUUGGGCAGCUUUGCCCAAUCCCUCUUCUUUUCUAUUUUCUUCUCACGCACACACACACACACAAAACUUUCUCUCAUCCCAACCAUCCAUUUCAUUCAUCAUUAAAUCUGGGCCGUCCAUUUUCAUAAAAGAAUUUCUAUAUUUUACUAAAAUUAUAAUUCCUUAAAAUCCCAACUUCAAACUUUAAUAACUUCUUCGAUAUAACUUCAAAUCACGAACCGUCUGCGCCCACGCGUCCGUAACGACGAGUACUACGGGGAUAUGUCAAGAAAACAAAUCUUAGAUGGCACGACAUGGUGAUUAACCUCGAAUAAUGCACGUACCUUCAAAGGGCAUUUUUGUAAAAUCCUUUAUUAAAACUUUAAAAAUUCUUAAAAUUAGGGACGGGCUGUCACAAUCUACCCACCUUACAGAAAUUUCGUCCUCGAAAUUUACACAAUCUUUACAAUCCGUCAAUAUCCAUGAAACAGCCCGAAACACAUCUCUCUCAUUCGAUUCUUUGAUUUCUAAGUAGCUUCUUCCACUGAAAGAUUCCUCCAUAAACUUUCACCAAACUCAUAGUCUUAUUUCUCAGUACAUCAUCUUUCUAAUACAAGAUAGGCACUGGCUCCUCAUCAUACGUCAAAUCCAUAUUGACUUCCAAAGGUUGAGAAGGUAUCACUCGUGAAGGAUAUGAGGUUUAAUGUCGAAGUAUCGAAACAUAAAACAUAUCAUGCCCUUUCAUCGGCUCUGGAGGCAACUCAGCCCGUACGUAACUUCACUGACUCGUUCAAUGAUCACAGAUGGUCUGACGUAUCUAGGACUUACUUGUUUUUUCUUUUUUUAAAACGAAUCAUACUUUUCCAAGGUGAUAAUUUCAAAAUCAUUCGAUCACCUACAUAUACAUCCGGUCAGUGGCAUGUUUGUCUGCUAAGCUCUUCAGCCGAUCCUGGCCCACUUCCAGGUUAGACUUAAUUACUUGAAUAUUCCGAAUAGUCUCAUCCACUAACUCAGGGCCUUGAAUACUAUCCGUCCCCAAUUCUAACAAUUUCGAAACACAAGACAUAGCUUUACACGGCCUUAUGGCGUUACUCUAGGGAACAAACUGAAGGGACCAACAUACCCAAGAAGUUUAACAGAUCCCAAAUCUCUUUUUCCAUAAAACAAAUAAAUAACUGUUGCGCUUAUCUGGAAAGGUUGAUGUUCUCAUACUGAAGUAACAUACGUUGACGUCACCAGCCGAUCAAUUAUUAUUCAAAUUCCAACCUAACUAUUUUGUAUACGAGGAAGCUUGUCCACGAAAUCCAUAGUAAUAUUCUCCCAUUUCCACCGUGGAAUGGGAAAUGACUACAUUAUUCCAAAAGACUUAUUUCUUUCUGCUUUAACCUGAUGACUGAUGAUACGCCUACUAACAUACUUCGCCAUUCCUCUUUUCAUACCCGUCAAUAGUACAUGAACGAAUGGUAUGAUAAAUCUUAGUACUUUUGGGAUGCAUUGUAGAAGUGGAAUAAUGUACAUCGUCAAAAUUGCUUUCUUUAAUUCCACACCAUUAGGCAUAAACACUUUGUUCUUUUGCGUAGGCUUGCCAUCUGAUUCUCUAACUCUAAGGUCUUUCUUUUUCCCGUUAUUCCUUGCUUUAAAUAAAUUCUUGAAUUUCUUCGUCAAACGCUCGAGUAUCGAGUACGAUCUACCAAAUGGGUCCAACUUAGAAAUUAGCAAGUAAGGCUUCUUCUCGAUUUUUGAUACUCAACUUUACUCCAGUAGAUUUCAAAUCCACAAGAAGAUGAACAUAGCAAGCGUACCAAGCAUUAAUUCUCACUGGGGUCUUCCUACUAAAUGCAUCAGCCACAACAUUAGCUUGACCACCCUCGUCACACAAUCAUAAUCACUAAGCAACUCAUUCCACCUUUGUUGCCUAAGAUUAAGAUACCUCUGAAUAAACAGAUAUUGGGUACUCUUUUGAUUUGUAACAAUCAUGCACUUUUCUUCCCAUAAAGACAAUGUCUCCAAAUUCUCAAAGCAAAGAUGAUAGCUGCUAAUUCCAAAUUAUAAUUAGGGUAAUUCAUCUUAUGAGAUCCCAAUGGCCAUGAAGCAUAGGCAAUCAUCCUACCAUGUUGCAUCAACACGCAUCCAAGUACAUUCAAAGAAGUAUUAUUAUAGACCACAUAAUUACCACUAUCGUCUGGGAGUGCGAAAACAGAUGCAUGAGUGAGGGAAUACUUUACUUGCUGAAGCUCUACUCACAAUUUUUUUUUUUUAUCCCACUCAAACUUAACCUCUUUUCUCAUCAAUCUCGCCAAGGGCGAAGCAAUAAUUAAAAUCUUGGACGAACUAUCGAUAAUAUCCUGCUAAUCCGAGAAAACUCUGAACCUCAGUCACAGUUCGCAAUUGUUCCAAAUUCUCAAUCGUUGCUACUCUUUUAAGAAUCCAUUUGAAUACCUUAAGUAGAUAUAAUUAAUUUAUCCAACAUUAGCAUUUGCUAAACUUAGCAUACAUCAACGUUCCCUCAAUCUUUGCAACACCAACUUUAAAUAUCUAGCAUGCACUGCUCUAAUCUUAUCAAUCUCGUCAAUGGCAAACAAUAACAACCCGGUCCAGAUAUCACUGGAAUACUUCCUUCAGCAAACUCAUAAAAGUAGCAGGUGCAUUCGUCACUCCGUAUGGCCUCCCAACUUGAAAUGACCAUAACGAGUCCUGGAUUCAGUCUUAUGAACAUCCCCACUGUUAAUCUUCAACUAAUAUCAUUCAGACCUCAAGUCAAUCUCAGAAAGUACCCAGGCGCCUCAGAGCUGAUCAAAUAAUCAUCAAUACACAACAAUGGAUAACAGCUCUCAAUCGUUACCCGAUUCAAUUACAUAAUAUCAAUGCCUAGCCUUAAUGUCCAUUUUCUUCCUCACAAAUAACCCGGAGCUUUUCCAAUGUGAUAUAAUAAGUUGAAUGGAACUUUUAACUCAACCUGAACCAAUCUCUAACAUAGGAUUUGUACCUAAAAACAAUUCAAUAAUAAAACCCACAUCUCUGCCUGGCGGCAAUCUAGGUAAGGCAUCUGGGAAUACACCAAGAAAAUGUCUAACCAUCUUUACAUCUUCCAUACUAUUAGGAUCAACAUCAUUUAGCACCAUAUGAACUCAAUAUCUUGGCAGCCUUUUGAUAACAAUCUUCUUUGCUCUCUCAACAGGAAUAAUGGCAUAACUCACUCCACUUUACUUACCCCCAAAAGUAACCUCUGGUCAUCCAGGUCAACAAAAAAUUAACUGAUUCCCCAUAGCAAUCUAGCUUGACACAAUUAUACAUUUCCUCUACCAGAGUCAUCUUGUCUCAGAAAUCUGGGAUCACUAGUAAAUCUAUCACUUCGCCUCUGACCAGUGGCAGUAAAACUUAAGCUGGGAAAAUUAGCUCUAAUUUCACUUCCUUUGAAGCUCUGAGUCCUCCGAGGUCUUUGAUAUGACGAAUCUUUCUUUAACUUUAUCGUCUUAUUCUGAUUCUCAUUCCUUUCUUAUUCCUCUUUACUCUCGCUGAUCAUAUUCUCAAAGUCUUCAAAGCCCAACAGCAUCCCGUAAACUCUUGGUAAAAAGUACAAUGGAUAGUGAUCGCCAAAGAACGCAACUUCUUCUUAUCAUCCAGCCAAAAACGACAUAACACCUCGACCGAAUUAACAACAUCAUCAGAAUGGAAAUAAGGCAAGUCUGUAAGCUUUCUAUAAUAUUCAUCCGUCGUCAUUUUCCUCGUCUCACAUUUGCAAUUUCUUGUUUACUACCAUCACAAUAUGCCGGGGGGAAUAAACUUUUCUUAAACAAUUCUUUAAACAACUUCCAAACAGUUGUCCUUCCGAUAUUGUCGGAUAACAUUCCUAUCUCCAUCAAAAUGCAGAUUCAUCACUCAAAAACUAGGUAAUCAUCUCGACCUACCUAUCGGGAGGAAAAUUCCCUUAACCUUGCAUAAUCUGAAACGCCUUUUCCCAAUUGAUUAAGCCAUCAAUCUGCUCCCUUAGGUCCUUAGGGAUUCAAAUUUAACUUAUAACCAGUCUCAAAAGGUCCCUUCAGAUAAUAGACUGAAUCACAAUGGCAAUAGUUUCCCCCCAAACUACUAUAUCAGGGAAAUUAGGCUCAUCCGAACUACGUGGCUCGCUACGAGGCGGUAUAGUUCUGACAGAAGACACUAGGAAAUUAUCAAGAUGUCCAGAAUUGCAACCUAGGCUCUGAUACCAACUGACACACCCCGUCCCGAAGGAGGGCGUGCUGGCCGUCACGUGAGAGUGACGUAACCAUUUACACAGUUCGGAAGCUUUAAAAAAAAAUUCCAAUUACUAAGAUAACACACCCGAGGGUGAGUCCUACUUUUGUGAAUUCUGUCAGAACACCGUUGGAUUCCUCGUGGCCACCAAAGCUCUGCUAACUUGAACCUGGAGGGGCGCAAAACAAAAUUGAGUGGGUCAGUAAAACAAAGUUUUUCGAAGACUUUUCAUUUAAAACAUUUAUAACCCCUCACCGUAAAACCUGUAUACUUUCCCAGAAAAUAGCAUAUAUAUAACAUAUAUAUAAGCAAAAAGCUCAAAUCUCAAACCUUUAACACUUUUCAGAAAUAUAUAUAUAUAUAUAUAUAUAGAUAUAUAACCAUAUGAAAUCUCAAAGCUUGAAUCCCAAAUCUUUAACAUUUUUCAAGAAAAACAUGCCAUGCCAUAAAUCAAAAUAUAAAUCAGGUGAAAUAAGGAAUCAAUCGGAGACCCUGCAGUUGGUCCUAUACGAUUAAUUCAAUAGCUCAAUAUCUCACUAAGCCGGAGUCACCACAGUGACCUAUACGGCCCUACUCUGCACAUCACUCGGAACUACGUAAGGUAGUCUAUACGAUGAAAGGUGUAAAAUACGCUCUAGUGCUUCUCUCAUCAUAUCAUCAGCGCGCAUAUCUAAGGUCACCCACCAGUCGGAACCCCCUCUAAUGGUCUGUACGACUGGCAUGUCGGAACCCUCACAUGGUCUGUACGACAUCCACCUACUUGGAUCCAAGGCGAGCGUGCGGUGUGGUGAAUAAUAUAAGCACUAACACCUAGGGUGCAGAUUAUGAGCUCAAACAUCUCAACAACAACAAUUCAAUGAAUAAACGAACUCACCUGACUUACCUGUGCCUCCACAGCACCAUGCAACAUGUAUGCAUCAUAUAUCAAUCAUAUAACUCAUAUGAAAUUCACAUUUUCCAAAUAAUUCUAUGCAUGGCAUUUUCAAAACAUAAUUUCGCAUAAAAGCAUUUUUUCUGGGAAAAACAAUAGUAUAUAGGUAAUACGAAAACAAAACUGCCCACUCACCUGGAGUUCGCCCACAACUCCCUAGCACCGUACAUCAAGGCGUCAUGACGAUUAGCGCCUAGAACAACAAUCAAAUCCAACCUCAGAAAUUCUGCCGAUAGAAUACAUAACUUAUAUAAGACACGUCACUACGUAGUUCGAUCCGGAUGAUCUGCAAUUCAGAUUUUCAAAUCCGUAACUUCCAGAGGUCCACAAUAUACCUCUAGGACAACAUCCUAAAAUUUCAUUACCAUCCAACGGUCGGAUCUUCGUCAAUUUCCAAAACUAAGUGACGGUUAACAUUCUAUUUUAUGAACUUACAACUUCAAUUCCAGAAGAUCCGUAAAUCGGAUUCCCAAUCCGUAAGUUCCUAUAAUCCUCAAAUAUUACGUAUUACAACGUAUCAAAGUUUGAUGACGAUCCAACGGUCGGAUCGUCAAUUCACAUUUUCAUCUAACCACGAAUCGUAACCAACUUAGGUUCAAUUAUUCAAUUUACGUCCAUCAAUUAUCAAAACAGAACCUAGAACCUUAAUCACAAGCUAAUAAUGACAUUGGCGGGCCAUUGGCCACGCGCCGCCGCGCGGGCCGCCGCGGGUGGCGGUUGGCCGCCCCCGGCUCGCCGGAAAAUUCAACUAUUUCCAAAAAUUACCAAAAUUUGCAGAUUUGAAGAUCUCAAUGAGUAGAACAACUUUCAUACCUGAGACCAAGGCCAAUUUGGCCUGGAAGUGCUUCAAUUUCACCAAAACCGUGAAGAACCCUAGAAUUGGGUGUUUCCAAUUCGACCUUCAAACUUGUUCCAACGCCUCAAUUACCUCUUGGGCUUUGUUUUAGGUCCUAAGGGAAUGCUAAUGGUGUUAGUAAUUGAAAGAAAACAUUUCAAAAUUUGGAGAAUUUAAACAAAAGGGUCGCGGCACCCGUAGGGGUGUUCUUCGCGAAAUCACAACGAAAUUCAAUGAUUCUUGGGGUGAAACGUGAAGAGGGAAGGCCUAGAUGAUGAUUAGGAGUGGUACCUUGAUUCAAUUCGUCGGAAAAUUGGACGAAAAUGGCGAAAACCCGCCGAUUGGAAGUCGCGGGUCGCGCGGGUAUACGGGUUGGGGAAAACCCAUUUCUUCCUUCUCUCCUCCGCUUCUCGCCCUCUCUCCUUUCCUCCUUUCCUUCCUCUAGUUGGUCAGCUUCUCCCUCUCUCUUCUCCCCAUUCGGUCUCUCCUCCUUCUUCUCCGAUUGGGCAGCUUUGCCCAAUC
This 7026-nucleotide long non-coding RNA is filed under the name Malus domestica (apple). RNAcentral describes it as "long non-coding RNA (MDOM_LNC006332)". Lineage: Eukaryota; Viridiplantae; Streptophyta; Magnoliopsida; Rosales; Rosaceae. The record is from RNAcentral.